AAACCAUGGUGAGGGCAUUGAGCUUGGUAGCCCUUGAAUCUCUCCCAGGCUUCGCUGAAUCCUUCCAAGUCCUUCUGUUGAAAGCUGGAGAUCUCAUUUCUCAGCUU
This 107-nucleotide small nucleolar RNA is filed under the name Brassica napus (rape). RNAcentral's name for it is "Plant small nucleolar RNA R71". It matches the Rfam family "Plant small nucleolar RNA R71". Rfam says of the family: R71 is a member of the C/D box family of snoRNAs containing the C (UGAUGA) and D (CUGA) box motifs. Multiple nearly identical copies of this snoRNA have been identified in Arabidopsis, and it is thought to function as a 2'-O-ribose methylation guide for 18S ribosomal RNA. The record is from Rfam by way of RNAcentral. Lineage: Eukaryota; Viridiplantae; Streptophyta; Magnoliopsida; Brassicales; Brassicaceae.